Molecule: ribosomal RNA, 478 nt
Filed under: uncultured bacterium
Lineage: Bacteria
Description: bacterial SSU rRNA
Rfam family: Bacterial small subunit ribosomal RNA
Source: RNAcentral
AUGAACGCUAGCGGCAGGCCUAAUACAUGCAAGUCGAGGGGUAAGGCUCUUUCGGGAGUACACGACCGGCGCACGGGUGCGUAACGCGUAUGCAACCUACCUUUAACUGGGGAAUAGCCCCGAGAAAUCGGGAUUAAUACCUCAUAACACUGCGAAGUGGCAUCACUUUGCAUUUAAAGCUCCGGCGGUUAAAGAUGGGCAUGCGUGACAUUAGCUAGUUGGUGGGGUAACGGCCCACCAAGGCUACGAUGUCUAGGGGUUCUGAGAGGAUGAUCCCCCACACUGGUACUGAGACACGGACCAGACUCCUACGGGAGGCAGCAGUAAGGAAUAUUGCGCAAUGGAGGCAACUCUGACGCAGCCAUGCCGCGUGCAGGAAGAAGGCCUUAUGGGUCGUAAACUGCUUUUAUUUAGGAAUAACCCCCUGCUCGUGAGCAGGGCUGAAGGUACUAAAAGAAUAAGCACCGGCUAACUCCGU